AUGGCAGCCCAUGUGGAUCCCCUUGUGGUUGGGAGGGUGAUCGGUGACGUGGUGGACAUGUUCGUGCCCACCAUGCCGGUGACCGUGCGCUUCGGGACGAAGGACCUGACGAACGGCUGCGAGAUCAAGCCGUCCAUCGCCGACGCGGCGCCCUCGAUCCAGAUAGCCGGCCGGGCCGGCGAUCUCUUCACCCUGGUUAUGACUGAUCCGGACGCACCGAGCCCCAGCGAGCCAACCAUGAAGGAGUGGCUUCACUGGCUGGUGGUUAACAUACCUGGUGGAUCAGAUCCUUCUCAAGGGGAGGAGGUGGUGCCCUACAUGGGUCCGAAGCCGCCGUUGGGCAUCCACCGCUACGUGCUGGUGCUGUUCCAGCAGAAGGCGCGUGUGCUGGCGCCGGCUCCCGGCGGCGACACAGCAGCGUCGGCCAUGCGCGCGCGGUUCAGCACCCGUGCCUUCGCAGAGCGCCAUGACCUGGGGCUCCCCGUCGCCGCCAUGUACUUCAACGCGCAGAAGGAGCCGGCCAACCGCCGCCGCCGCUACUAG
RNAcentral lists this ribosomal RNA (543 nucleotides) under Triticum aestivum (bread wheat). Its description in RNAcentral is "partial small subunit ribosomal RNA". The record is from RNAcentral. Lineage: Eukaryota; Viridiplantae; Streptophyta; Magnoliopsida; Poales; Poaceae.